This 670-nucleotide ribosomal RNA is filed under the name Salmonella enterica. Its description in RNAcentral is "partial 23S ribosomal RNA". It matches the Rfam family "Bacterial large subunit ribosomal RNA", at positions 2252 to 2916 of the family's 2925-position model. The record is from RNAcentral. Lineage: Bacteria; Pseudomonadati; Pseudomonadota; Gammaproteobacteria; Enterobacterales; Enterobacteriaceae.
CAGUGUCUGGUGGGUAGUUUGACUGGGGCGGUCUCCUCCUAAAGAGUAACGGAGGAGCACGAAGGUUGGCUAAUCCUGGUCGGACAUCAGGAGGUUAGUGCAAUGGCAUAAGCCAGCUUGACUGCGAGCGUGACGGCGCGAGCAGGUGCGAAAGCAGGUCAUAGUGAUCCGGUGGUUCUGAAUGGAAGGGCCAUCGCUCAACGGAUAAAAGGUACUCCGGGGAUAACAGGCUGAUACCGCCCAAGAGUUCAUAUCGACGGCGGUGUUUGGCACCUCGAUGUCGGCUCAUCACAUCCUGGGGCUGAAGUAGGUCCCAAGGGUAUGGCUGUUCGCCAUUUAAAGUGGUACGCGAGCUGGGUUUAGAACGUCGUGAGACAGUUCGGUCCCUAUCUGCCGUGGGCGCUGGAAGACUGAGGGGGGCUGCUCCUAGUACGAGAGGACCGGAGUGGACGCAUCACUGGUGUUCGGGUUGUCAUGCCAAUGGCACUGCCCGGUAGCUAAAUGCGGAAAAGAUAAGUGCUGAAAGCAUCUAAGCACGAAACUUGCCCCGAGAUGAGUCUUCCCUGAGACUUUGAGUCUCCUGAAGGAACGUUAAAGACGAUGACGUUGAUAGGCCGGGUGUGUAAGCGCAGCGAUGCGUUGAGCUAACCGGUACUAAUGAACCGUGAGG